CAAACGGCCCUUUUUAGGGCCACCCAAUUAAUAGAAAGAGAUCGAA
Molecule: non-coding RNA, 46 nt
Organism: Ciona savignyi (Pacific transparent sea squirt)
Lineage: Eukaryota; Metazoa; Chordata; Ascidiacea; Phlebobranchia; Cionidae
Source: Rfam